RNAcentral lists this ribosomal RNA (465 nucleotides) under uncultured bacterium. RNAcentral describes it as "partial 16S ribosomal RNA". It matches the Rfam family "Bacterial small subunit ribosomal RNA", at positions 28 to 507 of the family's 1533-position model. The record is from RNAcentral.
GACGAACGCUGGCGGCGUGCUUAACACAUGCAAGUCGUACGGUAAGGCCCUUUCGGGGGUCCACGAGUGGCGAACGGGUGAGUAACACGUGAGUAACCUGCCCACAACUUUGGGAUAACGCUAGGAAACUGGUGCUAAUACUGGAUAUGUGCUCCUGCUGCAUGGUGGGGGUUGGAAAGCUCCGGCGGUUGUGGAUGGACCCGCGGCCUAUCAGCUUGUUGGUGGGGUAGUGGCCUACCAAGGCGGCGACGGGUAGCCGGCCUGAGAGGGUGACCGGCCACAUUGGGACUGAGAUACGGCCCAGACUCCUACGGGAGGCAGCAGUGGGGAAUAUUGGACAAUGGGCGCAAGCCUGAUGCAGCAACGCCGCGUGCGGGAUGACGGCCUUCGGGUUGUAAACCGCUUUCAGCAGGGACGAAGCUUUUUGUGACGGUACCUGCAGAAGAAGCACCGGCUAACUACGUG